RNAcentral lists this long non-coding RNA (1149 nucleotides) under Rattus norvegicus (Norway rat). RNAcentral describes it as "long non-coding RNA NONRATT001282". The record is from RNAcentral. Lineage: Eukaryota; Metazoa; Chordata; Mammalia; Rodentia; Muridae.
GGUGGGAGAGGACUCUAAGAAAAACAAGAACAAGAAAGGAAUUUCUGCUUUUAGUGACCAGACCUUCAACUCUUGCUCACAGAAAGAGGGUGCUCAUUAAGAGAAGUUCUUUAAGGAGCCUGCCUUAUCUGCUGGCCCUAUUCCAAGAGAGGAGCCAGUCUCCAGCAUUAAAUUACUUUUCUCACUGGUCAUCAUUAGCAUGGAGAAUGCCUUUGAUCCUAUCCCCACAGCAGCCAGUUCCUGCCCCUGUGGUAGAAAUGUCCCAGGUUGGGGGGCAGAGAAGCCCCUAAAAUAGUUUCAAAGAAUCUACAACAAACUGUAAAGAACUUUGUUUUGUUUUGCCAGUUUGAAUUUAGAAUUCAGGCUUUGGCUGUGGCCGAGGUCAGGAUUAAUGUUUUCGUUUCCAUGGGCCCUUAGCCCACUGAGACAGUUUGGUAAAGGACUACUACUACAGUCCUGAUAUUCAGAGACAUGGAGAGAGCUAUAGUUUUUUUUUAUUAAAGGUUGGUACUAUAGUAUUAACAAUCUCUUUAUUAGAUAUAAGAGACAAGAAGCCCCAGGUGAACUGGUUACAAUUCUUUUGUCAGCUGCUUAGUAUCUAACACUCAGGUUCUAUCGUCUCUCCAUCCUUUUAUUAUUAGUUGUUACUGAAAGCCUAGUGCCAUUUAGAGGAUGGGUCUCUUGAGCGAUAAAACCACUGAGCUGACACUAAAGGAAAGUACUCCUUAAGGGAAAAUCUAAGUCCAGAGAGACAGCCGGUAGCAGAUAGGCUGCCCCUCUGCUCACUUUUCUGUUUCACAGACACAAGGUCUUUUUGUCCCAAGAAAGCCUCCUGGCUUAGCUGUGUGACUAAAUGCUAUUUGCCCUCUUCAGUGGACCUCUAUUCUCAAGAUUCCCUUGUUUUCUCACCAUCCCAUUUGAGAUGCUUGUUAGUAACUGUUACAGGUCUUCUUUACCACCGAGGAAAGACGGAAUCCUACUAGAGGCCAGAAAAAGUGUUCCAGAGAUGGAUAGAAGGCCCUCACUUCUGCCUGCUCUCUUCAGACGCCUAAAGGUAGGGAGUGCCAGGUCUGCUGCCAGGCUCCAAGGGUGGGUCUCUGAGGGGCUAGAAAAUGCCCCACCAAUCUGGCUAAGAUAAAGAAAGGAUAU